This 253-nucleotide ribosomal RNA is filed under the name uncultured bacterium. Its description in RNAcentral is "partial 16S ribosomal RNA". It matches the Rfam family "Bacterial small subunit ribosomal RNA", at positions 524 to 776 of the family's 1533-position model. The record is from RNAcentral.
GACAGAGGCCUCGAGCGUUAGGCGGAAUCACUGGGCUUAAAGCGUGUGUAGGCGGGCCCGUAAGUGUCUUGUGAAAUCCCACGGCUCAACCGUGGAACUGCUGGGCAUACUGCGGGUCUUGGGCCAACUAGGGGCAGCCGGAACAAGCGGUGGAGCGGUGAAAUGCGUAGAUAUCAAGAGGAACACCUGAGGCGAAGGCGGGUUGCUAGGCUGACACUGACGCUGAGGCGCGAAAGCCAGGGGAGCAAACGGG